This 104-nucleotide transfer RNA is filed under the name Coprinellus micaceus. It matches the Rfam family "tRNA". Rfam says of the family: Transfer RNA (tRNA) molecules are approximately 80 nucleotides in length. Their secondary structure includes four short double-helical elements and three loops (D, anti-codon, and T loops). Further hydrogen bonds mediate the characteristic L-shaped molecular structure. tRNAs have two regions of fundamental functional importance: the anti-codon, which is responsible for specific mRNA codon recognition, and the 3' end, to which the tRNAs corresponding amino acid is attached (by aminoacyl-tRNA synthetases). tRNAs cope with the degeneracy of the genetic code in two manners: having more than one tRNA (with a specific anti-codon) for a particular amino acid; and 'wobble' base-pairing, i.e. permitting non-standard base-pairing at the 3rd anti-codon position. Lineage: Eukaryota; Fungi; Basidiomycota; Agaricomycetes; Agaricales; Psathyrellaceae. The record is from Rfam by way of RNAcentral.
GGCGAGAUGGCCGAGCGGUCUAAGGCGCCAGACUAAGGAUCAGGACAUUCGAUGUCCUCUAAAUCUGGUCCGAAAGGGCGUGGGUUCGAAUCCCACUCUCGUCA